AGCGAACGCUGGCGGCAGGCCUAACACAUGCAAGUCGAACGAACCUUUCGGGGUUAGUGGCGGACGGGUGAGUAACACGUGGGAACGUGCCUUUAGGUUCGGAAUAACUCAGGGAAACUUGUGCUAAUACCGAAUGUGCCCUUCGGGGGCAAGAUUUAUCGCCGUUAGAGCGGCCCGCGUCUGAUUAGCUAGUUGGUUGAGGUAAUGGCUCACCAAGGCGACGAUCAGUAGCUGGUCUGAGAGGAUGAUCAGCCACAUUGGGACUGAGACACGGCCCAAACUCCUACGGGAGGCAGCAGUGGGGAAUCUUGCGCAAUGGGCGAAAGCCUGACGCAGCCAGGCCGCGUGAAUGAUGAAGGUCUUAGGAUUGUAAAAUUCUUUCACCGGGGACGAUAAUGACGGUACCCGGAGAAGAAGCCCCGGCUAACUUCGUG
Molecule: ribosomal RNA, 434 nt
Filed under: uncultured bacterium
Lineage: Bacteria
Description: partial 16S ribosomal RNA
Rfam family: Bacterial small subunit ribosomal RNA
Source: RNAcentral